Long non-coding RNA from Oreochromis aureus, 1308 nucleotides. Lineage: Eukaryota; Metazoa; Chordata; Actinopteri; Cichliformes; Cichlidae. The record is from Ensembl.
CAGAUUCAGAGUUGGACAUGGUGCGAAGUCAGUACUUUGCAUUGCUCCACAGUGGAAAGAAAAAGGAAUGUAAGAUGUCGAAGGAGCUCUGUUGCAGACUUGUAAGGAACACAGUGACCAGCAUGGUUGCAAUCCUCCGUGCUAGUCCCAUGGGGAAAGAAGUAAGAUACCCCUCCAAACUCGAAAUGAGAGCAAUGUCACAGAAGAUUGUCGACUAUUACCCCAUGUUACGUGAUGCUGACACACACAUGCCAUACGUAAGUCAUUCUUUACCCACUACAAUAUCUAAAAUUGAGUGAGAUAAUAAAAGGAUGUACAAAUAUAUAUUAUUUUACCACAGCUGACCAUCUACACAAAACUGUACAAACGACUCCAAAAUAUGAAGUCUCCAAGGAAGAGGCAGGGCUCCAUGCCGCAACGAGGCAGGCCCAGGAAGACUCUUUUCAGCUCAGACGACACAGACAAUGGGACUGAAGGUGACCUAAGUGGUGAAGCAAGUGGUUCAAGUGACUAUACCAUACUUCUUGAGAGCAAUGAUGACCUCAGCGAGGAUAACUCAAAUGCAGAGAAAGAAUCCCAAUUGCCGCUACCCUCCACUGUACCAACUACGUCAAACAAUACUACCCUGGCUUUACCACUAUUAUCCAAGUCAGCCUCAUGCUCUGCACCCAGGGCUGAUAUAGGUCCAUCAACUGCACCUCCAGAUGAUGUUGUUGCAGACCAUGACAGCCUGAAGAUGCAGGCAAGGCAUUACAAAACCUUGAGUAACAUGUACAGGAAACUCAAUGCAAAACCCAACCAAAGUGACGUUGCUCAAAUUUUGGACCUGGAGUUUGAGGCCAGACGAGCUUUUAUUGACGCAGAUGUUACAAGGGAAGAAGACAGGCCCAGAAAAAUAUUUGAAGCAUACCCGUGCUUCAAAGACAUACGAAAUGCGAUGGAUGAACUGCGUCGCAUCGUUGGUGGCUUCAACUGCAAAUACAUAGAUCAAAUGAAGGGUCGAUGGGCAGAGUUUUGUUCGAAGGUGCAGUUCUAUGGCAUUUGGAAGAAGGUCCUGAAACCACCUCUCCCCUUGGAUGUACAUGGAGUGGAUUUUACUGUCACUCUCUUCAAUGCACUUCCAUCUCUUUUUCCUUCAAAAACUACACCACCAAAGCGGCUGGGAAGUGCCAGUGAGGCUCUCCUUCAUAUCCUCAAGCCGGGUGAAGAUGCUAUGCUAUACCUGGAGAAGCGGCCUCUCUCCUCCCCAGUGCUGCUUUUUGAUGGCACAACCAGCAUUGUUGCUGUAGGAAACAUACCAGUGACCAC